RNAcentral lists this ribosomal RNA (672 nucleotides) under uncultured bacterium. Its description in RNAcentral is "bacterial SSU rRNA". It matches the Rfam family "Bacterial small subunit ribosomal RNA", at positions 141 to 808 of the family's 1533-position model. The record is from RNAcentral.
GGAUAAUCGGGAGAAAUCCCGUCUAAUACCGCGUAACGCCGCGGGGCUGCAUGGCCCUGCGGCCAAAGGGAGCGAUCCGGCAACGGAUGGGCAUGCGUGACAUUAGCUAGUUGGCGGGGCAACGGCCCACCAAGGCGACGAUGUCUAGGGGUUCUGAGAGGAAGGUCCCCCACACUGGUACUGAGACACGGACCAGACUCCUACGGGAGGCAGCAGUGAGGAAUAUUGGUCAAUGGGCGCGAGCCUGAACCAGCCAAGUCGCGUGAGGGAUGACGGCCCUACGGGUUGUAAACCUCUUUUGUCGGGGAGCAAAUUCCGCCACGUGUGGCGGAGUCGAGAGUACCCGAAGAAAAAGCAUCGGCUAACUCCGUGCCAGCAGCCGCGGUAAUACGGAGGAUGCGAGCGUUAUCCGGAUUUAUUGGGUUUAAAGGGUGCGUAGGCGGACUGUCAAGUCAGCGGUAAAAUACGGGGGCUCAACCUCCGCCCGCCGUUGAAACUGACGGUCUUGAGUGGGCGAGAAGUAUGCGGAAUGCGUGGUGUAGCGGUGAAAUGCAUAGAUAUCACGCAGAACUCCGAUUGCGAAGGCAGCAUACCGGCGCCCAACUGACGCUGAAGCACGAAAGCGUGGGUAUCGAACAGGAUUAGAUACCCUGGUAGUCCACGCAGUAAACG